This 644-nucleotide long non-coding RNA is filed under the name Homo sapiens (human). RNAcentral's name for it is "HSALNT0299265". The record is from RNAcentral. Lineage: Eukaryota; Metazoa; Chordata; Mammalia; Primates; Hominidae.
UGUGCACCACCCUCUCACCCAAACGAAGGCAGCUGGCCCUGAAGUUCUCUGAGCUUGAGGACAAAAAAAGACCUCUGUGAGUUGUCAGGCUCUGUUACAGUCUGGGUCAGCAGACAAGAGUCCCAGGGCUCGGCCGUCUUCUCUAGGAGAGAAAAUAUUCGUGCCAUAUAGCGUGUUCUAAGAGUUCUCACCAGAAGCCCAGAAAGUUCUGUAUUUACUCAGCAUUCAAGGGAAAACAGACCCUGUAUUUUUGGGAUUCCUGAAAGGUGACCAGAGGAAUAUCCACAGAAGCAGAAGUAGGAAUGGGGAAGGAGGGGACAAGUUUAGACCAAGCUCUUCUGUGACCUCACUUCUGCUUUUGAAGUCCCACAGCUCUAUAAGGAUUCCUAAAACUGGACAUGGUGGCUGUAGGAGGAUGCGCCUCUUUCAGUCAUUGGAUUUCCCCUGGAAAGACAGAAUGAAUUCACAUUCUCACCUGCAGUGGGUGAGAAGUCCCUUUUCCCCCACUUCCUUGCCAAAAAUGGAUAUUAUCAUUCCUUUUCAUCUUUGCCAGUCUGGAAGUUAUGUGCAACUGAACACAAGAAUUACAGAAGAGGCCGGGCGUGGUGGCUCACGCCUGUAAUCCCAACACUUUGGGAGGCUGA